UACGUAGGCAGCGAGCGUUGUUCGGAGUUACUGGGCGUAAAGGGUGUGUAUGCGGUUGUUUAAGUUUGGUGUGAAAUCUCCCGGCUCAACUGGGAGGGUGCGCCGAAUACUGAAUGACUUGGAGUGCGGGAGAGGAGAGUGGAAUUCCUGGUGUAGCGGUGAAAUGCGUAGAUAUCAGGAGGAACACCGGUGGUGUAGACGGCUCUCUGGACCGUAACUGACGCUGAGACACGAAAGCGUGGGUAGCAAACAGG
This 254-nucleotide ribosomal RNA is filed under the name uncultured bacterium. RNAcentral describes it as "partial 16S ribosomal RNA". It matches the Rfam family "Bacterial small subunit ribosomal RNA", at positions 524 to 776 of the family's 1533-position model. The record is from RNAcentral.